GACAGCAGUAGCCACGGGAAUACGUAGGUGGCGAGCGUUGUCCGGAAUUAUUGGGCGUAAAGGGAGCGCAGGCGGACAUAUAAGUCCAUCUUAAAAGUGCGGGGCUCAACCCCGUGAGGGGAUGGAAACUGUAUGCCUUGAGUGCAGGAGAGGAAAGCGGAAUUCCCAGUGUAGCGGUGAAAUGCGUAGAUAUUGGGAGGAACACCAGUGGCGAAGGCGGCUUUCUGGACUGUAACUGACGCUGAGGCUCGAAAGCCAGGGGAGCGAACGGGAUUAGAUACCCCCGUAGUCCCUGUCUCUUAUACA
RNAcentral lists this ribosomal RNA (306 nucleotides) under uncultured bacterium. RNAcentral describes it as "partial 16S ribosomal RNA". It matches the Rfam family "Bacterial small subunit ribosomal RNA", at positions 505 to 809 of the family's 1533-position model. The record is from RNAcentral.